RNAcentral lists this transfer RNA (2484 nucleotides) under Oryctolagus cuniculus (rabbit). RNAcentral's name for it is "lncRNA (ENSOCUG00000038609.1)". The record is from RNAcentral. Lineage: Eukaryota; Metazoa; Chordata; Mammalia; Lagomorpha; Leporidae.
UAACUACUCGGUAUACACUUGUUGAAUGGAUGGGGGGGGGUGUGUGAACAACCGGAAGCAGAGGGGCCUGGGCCACCCAGGAAGUUGAGUCUGCACUGACCUCAGCGAAGAAAAAUCGCGGGGACAGUAGUAAGACGGGGUGUGGCCCGGACAAAAACUGCAGCGACCUCCCCGUCGGGGAAUCGAACCCCGGUCUCCCGCGUGACAGGCGGGGAUACUCACCACUAUACUAACGAGGACUGGUGCUGCUAGCUAGUGCUCGGGCGGCUCCCUUAAAGGAAUCUCGUUUUUCUCGCGCAUUCUACGGACUCGGAUGCGUUCGCUGGUGGCACGAGCCGUGUUCGGCUUGCGGACGUGGACAUUAGGCGGCCCCCAAUUCCCGCUGGGUCCAAGGCUGCGGCGCUGGGGUGCAGGGUGCGGAAAAGGCAGCCGCAGGGGACCCACACUGCGGACACAAAAGAGGACGCGCCGCGGGGCGGGAGCGAGCUUGCAAAGAAAAGACAAGCUGCCGAAACCCGGGAUCGAACCCAGGGGACCUUUAGAUCUUCAGUCUAACGCUCUCCCAACUGAGCUAUUUCGGCAACUGCUCUGGCUGGCCUCCUUUCGGUCCUCCCUGUCAUGCACACAGCCUGGACCUGCAGUCCCUGGGUUUCAUGUCCGCCCCUGCCCAGCCUUCAAGGUUGCCGCCUCCGCCUUCCAGCGCGGCCCGAGGCUGCCUGCUCAAUGCUGGCUCAUGGCUCACUAUCUUUGUCCCUUACCUGCCAAGGGGAGCAGGGAGGGGGCUGCCUGGGCCACGGCGGUGCCCGAGGGCCUGGACACCCUGGGGCCCGUCUGGGGGGCUUUGUAAAUAUGUGUUGACCCAACCGGCCAGCAGUGAAGGAAUCCCACCUCGCUCGGAGCUUGGCUUCCUCAAGCUCCCUUCUCCACACAAGGCUCACCCUCGGGGCCGGCUUGGGAGGGCGGCGCCGGGGGAUGCCGACCGUGCCGAGGCUUGUGGUCACAGGUGGCCGCCACACCUGUGCGCACCUGCUCAGCUUCCAGUCGAGCAGUUGGAUGUCGGGCACGCAGAGGGCCCCGGAUCCCACCUGCCAGCGGCUUGUCAGUCACUCGGAAGGCACAGGAGCACGCCCCGAGUGGCCACCGCGGCCGGCGCUGACGCGUGCACACUUCUGGAGGCCAGGAGCCCUGAGUCACGGUGCCGGCCAGGUUGGUUCCUCCUGGGGCCCCUCCCGGCAGCUCCCGGGGGAGGGCGGUGGCACUUGGUAGCCUGUGGCUUGGUCUCCUUCCUGCCCGUGGCCUUCCCCUCCCUCCCCUUCUCUCUCCGCAGUGCACACAUCACGGCGCCCCUGGUGAGAGCCCCCAGAUGCUGGCAUCGCACCGGCCUUCCUUCUGCGAAGACGUCCUGUGGCCCGGGCAGGCGCAGCGGUGAGGGCCUCUUUCCAGUCCACGCAGAACCAGCGCCUUGUCCUCGGUCUGCAACUUGACUCUAAAUCAGAAGGUGCUUAGUGCCAACCAUCGGAGAAGCCUGCAGCUGGGAGUUCUCAUCACCGCCGCCUGUCGGUCCUGCUGGGCCAGGCACACGAGGGGACGCCAGCAGGACACACGGGCAGCUCACGUUUCCUGUCCUGGAUCUGACGUUAAGAAAACGCAGCAAGACCCAUUUUCAUUCACCAAGCGGAAGAGAGAUCCUCAGUGAGAGCCAAGGAGCCACCGGGCUGCACCCCACGGAGCAUAGCGGUCUCUCCCCAAGUCCUCCGCGUUAGGGGGCAGACGGCUGUGUGAGCCGUGCAGCGCUGGGAGGGCUCAGUCCGCAUGGCCGUGUGCUGUCCCGUCUCCUCACCCCUGUGCCCCCCUCCCCACUUGGUCCAACAGAGGCACAGCUCUGCCUCCAGACGGUCCUCUCCACUCCUCGCCUUCCUCCUCCAGGCAAACUCUGCAUUUUAAAUUUUUUUCUUUUUCCCCAAAGCAAAUCUCUCUCUGUCUGUCUCUGUCUCUAGGAACCGAGGUGAGACUCACAUAACAUGACCGUCCCCAUUCUAACGUGGCGCUUGGCGCAUCCUGGCUCUGUCUAGUUCCCCAGAAGGGAACCCGCACCCACAUUCAGGCCUCCCCGUGUUCUCCCCCAGCCCCUUGCUACCUGUCCCCAAGAUUUGGGUCAUAAGAAAAAGGGGGGAACCCCAACAAAAUGCAUAAGCGUCACAGGCCAAGCACGAAGUUUGGUCUACUUAGAGUCUAGGAGCAAGCUUUCUCUGUGAAUUCUGGCGAGUCGACUUUGCUCCGCGGGCAGGGCCCUCCCCGUGACCGCGGCUGUGGGUACCUCCGGAUUUUGCCCAGCGACUGGCGGAAUCUAUUUCUACAGCACAGAGCCCGCUGCUGCCCGCGCUGGCCAGGUGGUGCCGGGCGCAGCCCACAGCCGCGGCCGGCGCGGGUGCUGGGGAGCGCAGGACGCGUGGACCCCUGCUCGCCGCGUGAAACGCCUUUUCA